UGAUCCAGCUGACGAGUGGCGCACGGGUGAGUAACGCGUACGCAACCUGCCUUCAAGAGCGGGAUAGCCCCGGGAAACUGGGAUUAAUACCGCAUAGCAUUAACGAUUCACCUGGAUUGUUAAUUAAAGCUAAGGCGCUUGAAGAUGGGCGUGCGUGCUAUUAGCUAGUUGGUGAGGUAACGGCUCACCAAGGCGACGAUAGCUAGGGGGCGUGAGAGCGUGACCCCCCACACGGGUACUGAGACACGGACCCGACUCCUACGGGAGGCAGCAGUAAGGAAUAUUGGGCAAUGGAGGCAACUCUGACCCAGCUAUCCCGCGUGCAGGAUGACGGCCCUACGGGUUGUAAACUGCUUUUACAUGGGAAGAAACGGACCUAUUGAUAGGUUUUUGACGGUACCAUGAGAAUAAGCACCGGCUAACUCCGUGCCAGCAGCCGCGGUAAUACGGAGGGUGCAAGCGUUAUCCGGAAUCACUGGGUUUAAAGGGUGCGUAGGCGGCGCAGUAAGUCAGGGGUGAAAGCUCGGAGCUCAACUUCGGAAUUGCCUUUGAUACUGCUGUGCUUGAAUGAGGUUGAGGUUGGCGGAAUGUGACAUGUAGCGGUGAAAUGCAUAGAUAUGUCAUAGAACACCAAUUGCGAAGGCAGCUGACUGGACCUACAUUGACGCUGAGGCACGAAAGCGUGGGGAGCGAAC
This 695-nucleotide ribosomal RNA is filed under the name uncultured organism. RNAcentral's name for it is "bacterial SSU rRNA". It matches the Rfam family "Bacterial small subunit ribosomal RNA", at positions 80 to 773 of the family's 1533-position model. The record is from RNAcentral.